Molecule: ribosomal RNA, 741 nt
Filed under: Dujonia oleophila
Lineage: Eukaryota; Fungi; Ascomycota; Pichiomycetes; Serinales; Debaryomycetaceae
Description: eukaryotic LSU rRNA
Rfam family: Eukaryotic large subunit ribosomal RNA (bases 189-741)
Source: RNAcentral
CUCUCAAAUCUUCGGAUUUGGUUUUGAGUGAUACUCUUAGUCAGACUAAGCGUUUGCUUGAAAUGUAUUGGCAUGAGUGGUACUAGAUAGUGCUGAACUGUUUUCAAUGUAUUAGGUUUAUCCAACUCGUUGACCAGUAAAGUAUUUGUUUAUUACACAGGCUCGGCCUUACAACAACAAACAAAGUUUGACCUCAAAUCAGGUAGGACUACCCGCUGAACUUAAGCAUAUCAAUAAGCGGAGGAAAAGAAACCAACAGGGAUUGCCUUAGUAACGGCGAGUGAAGCGGCAAAAGCUCAAAUUUGAAAUCUAGCACUUUCAGUGUUCGAGUUGUAAUUUGAAGAAGGUAACUUUGGAAUUGGCUCUUGUCUAUGUUCCUUGGAACAGGACGUCACAGAGGGUGAGAAUCCCGUGCGAUGAGAUGUCCAAUUCUAUGUAAAGUGCUUUCGAAGAGUCGAGUUGUUUGGGAAUGCAGCUCUAAGUGGGUGGUAAAUUCCAUCUAAAGCUAAAUAUUGGCGAGAGACCGAUAGCGAACAAGUACAGUGAUGGAAAGAUGAAAAGAACUUUGAAAAGAGAGUGAAAAAGUACGUGAAAUUGUUGAAAGGGAAGGGCUUGAGAUCAGACUUGGUAUUUUGUGUUCCUUAUUCUUUUUGGAUUUGGUUCCUCACAGCUUACCGGGCCAGCAUCGGUUUGGAUGGUAGGAUAAUGACAUUGGAAUGUAGCUUUGCUUCGGUGAAGUGU